RNAcentral lists this ribosomal RNA (205 nucleotides) under Priestia aryabhattai B8W22. RNAcentral describes it as "16S rRNA. Bacterial SSU". It matches the Rfam family "Bacterial small subunit ribosomal RNA", at positions 1 to 198 of the family's 1533-position model. The record is from RNAcentral. Lineage: Bacteria; Bacillati; Bacillota; Bacilli; Caryophanales; Bacillaceae.
UUUCUUCGGAGAGUUUGAUCCUGGCUCAGGAUGAACGCUGGCGGCGUGCCUAAUACAUGCAAGUCGAGCGAACUGAUUAGAAGCUUGCUUCUAUGACGUUAGCGGCGGACGGGUGAGUAACACGUGGGCAACCUGCCUGUAAGACUGGGAUAACUUCGGGAAACCGAAGCUAAUACCGGAUAGGAUCUUCUCCUUCAUGGGAGAU